Molecule: ribosomal RNA, 427 nt
Filed under: uncultured bacterium
Lineage: Bacteria
Description: bacterial SSU rRNA
Rfam family: Bacterial small subunit ribosomal RNA
Source: RNAcentral
UAGGGAAUCUUCCGCAAUGGACGAAAGUCUGACGGAGCAACGCCGCGUGAGUGAAGAAGGUUUUCGGAUCGUAAAACUCUGUUGUCAGAGAAGAACAAGUCGGAGAGUAACUGCUCCGGCCUUGACGGUAUCUGACCAGAAAGCCACGGCUAACUACGUGCCAGCAGCCGCGGUAAUACGUAGGUGGCAAGCGUUGUCCGGAUUUAUUGGGCGUAAAGCGAGCGCAGGCGGUUCCUUAAGUCUGAUGUGAAAGCCCACGGCUUAACCGUGGAAGGUCAUUGGAAACUGGGGAACUUGAGUGCAGAAGAGGAGAGUGGAAUUCCAUGUGUAGCGGUGAAAUGCGUAGAUAUAUGGAGGAACACCAGUGGCGAAGGCGACUCUCUGGUCUGUAACUGACGCUGAGGCUCGAAAGCGUGGGGAGCAAACA